GGAAUAUUGGUCAAUGGGCGGGAGCCUGAACCAGCCAAGUCGCGUGAGGGACGACGGUCCUAUGGAGUGUAAACCUCUUUUGUCGGGGAACAAAGUUGCCCACGGGUGGGCGGAUGAGUGUAUCCGAAUAAAAAGCAUCGGCUAACUCCGUGCCAGCAGCCGCGGUAAUACGGAGGAUGCGAGCGUUAUCCGGAUUUAUUGGGCUUAAAGGGUGCGUAGGCGGACAGUCAAGUCAGCGGUAAAAAUGCGGUGCUCAACGCCGCACAGCCGUUGAAACCGGCAGUCUUGAGUGGGCGAGAAGUAUGCGGAAUGCGUGGUGUAGCGGUGAAAUGCAUAGAUAUCACGCAGAACUCCGAUUGCGAAGGCAGCAUACCGGCGCCCUACUGACGCUGAGGCACGAAAGCGUGGGUAUCGAAC
RNAcentral lists this ribosomal RNA (417 nucleotides) under uncultured bacterium. Its description in RNAcentral is "bacterial SSU rRNA". It matches the Rfam family "Bacterial small subunit ribosomal RNA", at positions 358 to 773 of the family's 1533-position model. The record is from RNAcentral.